AACAAACGCUGGCGGCGUGCCUAAUACAUGCAAGUCGAACGGGGAAAGUAGCAAUACGAGUACUAGUGGCGCACGGGUGAGAAAUACAUGGGUAAUCUGCCCUCGAGUUUGGGAUAACCAGUCGAAAGAUUGGCUAAUACCGGAUAUGACCACAGGAACUGCGGAUCUAGGGGUAAAAGGUUUUUCGCUCGAGGAGGAGCCCAUGUGGGAUUAGCUAGUUGGUGAGGUAACGGCUCACCAAGGCGACGAUCCCUAACGGGUCUUAGAGGAUGAUCAGUCACACUGGAACUGAGACACGGCCCAGACUCCUACGGGAGGCAGCAGUAGGGAAUAUUGCACAAUGGAGGAAACUCUGAUGCAGCGACGCCGCGUGGGUGAUGAAGGCCUUCGGGUCGUAAAGCUCUGUCGUAUGGGACUAACACAAUGAAGGUACCAUGCAAGAAAGGAUCGGCUAACUUCGUGCCAGCAGCCGCCGUAA
Molecule: ribosomal RNA, 478 nt
Filed under: uncultured bacterium
Lineage: Bacteria
Description: partial 16S ribosomal RNA
Rfam family: Bacterial small subunit ribosomal RNA
Source: RNAcentral